GAGUUUGAUCUUGGCUCAGAACGAACGCUGGCGGCAGGCCUAACACAUGCAAGUCGAACGCCCUCUUUCGGGAGGGAGUGGCGCACGGGUGAGUAACGCGUGGGAAUCUGCCCUUUGGUUCGGAAUAACCCUGGGAAACUAGGGCUAACGCCGGAUAAGCCCGAGAGGGGAAAGUUUACGCCGAAGGAGGAGCCCGCGUCCGAUUAGCUAGUUGGUGAGGUAAGAGCUUACCAAGGCGACGAUCGGUAGCUGGUCUGAGAGGAUGAUCAGCCACAUUGGGACUGAGACACGGCCCAGACUCCUACGGGAGGCAGCAGUGGGGAAUCUUGCGCAAUGGCCGAAAGGCUGACGCAGCGACGCCGCGUGUGGGAUGACGGCCUUCGGUUGUAA
This 390-nucleotide ribosomal RNA is filed under the name uncultured Alphaproteobacteria bacterium. RNAcentral describes it as "bacterial SSU rRNA". It matches the Rfam family "Bacterial small subunit ribosomal RNA", at positions 9 to 428 of the family's 1533-position model. The record is from RNAcentral. Lineage: Bacteria; Pseudomonadati; Pseudomonadota; Alphaproteobacteria.